This 1393-nucleotide long non-coding RNA is filed under the name Betta splendens (Siamese fighting fish). RNAcentral's name for it is "lncRNA (ENSBSLG00000018917.1)". The record is from RNAcentral. Lineage: Eukaryota; Metazoa; Chordata; Actinopteri; Anabantiformes; Osphronemidae.
CGCGGCCUAUAAACACUGCUGUCAGCCCAUUGGUCCCAGCACGACAAUGCGCGUCUGCCCGGACCCAGCUGAGUUACACUUUCUCACAAAGUCCCAGCACAGACGUGAUCCAGGAGGUGAGAGCCUGGUGUCCCGCUGGCGUUAAGACGGGGAAACAUAAUAGCAGGAAAGAUGAGAAAAUGAUUCCUUCCUAUUUACUGAGAGAGGCGCUUGUUAAGGUGUAAUAAAGAAGAAGGCCUAGUCCAUACAGUACCCUUUGAACCAAUGUUGUAUUUCACCUGGUUAAUUUUUAACUAUAUACAUAAAAUGUUGUUGUUCAGACAUGAAAGGCGUCAUGACAAUGCACCAGCAACACUGAAUCUGAAUUUCAUUGGCGAUAGCUUGAUCUCCCAACCCUCUGAUGGCGUCGGUGCCGGCGGUGCCGGCGCUCCAUGUGGUCCCGGGGGUCCCGGCGAGCGCCGAGCCCGUCCACGCCAGCCCGGACAGGCUCCUGGCUUCGCGCGGCACGCCUCACAGCCAGGUGGAGGGACCUGAAAAACCAGCUGCCUCAGAUUGCGACUGUGUGUGAGGAGCAGCGAGCGCCGAGCCUCCUCCUCCUCCUCCUCCUCCUCCUCCUCCUCCACCUCCUCACUCUCCCCCUUCUCUUUACAUAAACACUGAUUCCCACAGGAGCCUCACACUCAGAGCCGCCUCUGCUCCUUUUACACACUUCCAUCCUCUACAGUCCGUCUGUACCUGUGGGACUUUUACUUCAGAAACGCCGGGGACUUCCUGUCUUGGACUACCUUCACUCCAUUGCUACUAACUCAUCCAUCUGCCUUGAGUCUACCGGUGGACUAUGCCCCCCUCGGCGAGCUGAGGGAGGGGGCUCUGCGCCGCUCAGGGCUCCCGUCCGGAGAAAACUUGGGCAGAGAUCAAAGGGGAGACGCUUCGGUUAUUGCUGAAGAUGCAAACUUCAACUGUCUCACCAGUGACCAACACUUCAAACACAACCACCACUACAAAGACCAAAGAACAAAUACUCAUCCAGAGCUCCGGGGCCAUGAUUGCUGUCAUCGUCAUAGGCAUCAUCAUCAUCCUCGCUGUUAUACUGCUCAUUCUUAAGACAUACAACAGGCGCACGCACGCAUCGCGGGUCCUGGGCGUCAGCAGCAGCUCCAAACCUCGUCCGAGGACGUCGCAGUCCACGGUCCAGGGCAGCGUGCCGCUGAACACCAUGGGAGUGCACUCGGUGUCGGAAAACAUCACGGGUCCAGCGCCGGCCUCGGAGAACGAGCCCCGGCUGGGCACGGAGAUGAACAGCGCCGAGGGGAACCGCGCAGAACAGUUCAGCACCGCGAGUGGAUCCAGUGUGGUUACAAUCCAUGACACAGCGGCGUCAGAGAACACAUAG